AUUUAGAAAGAAAAGUCCCUAUUUUCAUGCAUCAUUCUUCUGUCCUUAUUUUCUAUUAUCAUUGUUAUUAUUCAUCGGUGGUUUAGAUAUUUUGUAUUCAUGUACACUAAGCAGUGUGUUACAUAUUGUCUUAUAUUGUCUUAUAUUUAUAUUGAUCGCCUAGUUAAAGGACCACUAUAGUGCCAGGAAAACAUACUCGUUUUCCUGGCACUAUAGUGCCCUGAGGGUGC
This is a non-coding RNA of Pelobates cultripes (western spadefoot toad), 230 nucleotides long. The record is from the annotation of a GenBank genome assembly. NCBI's taxonomy places the organism in Eukaryota, Metazoa, Chordata, Amphibia, Anura, Pelobatidae.